RNAcentral lists this non-coding RNA (23 nucleotides) under Arabidopsis thaliana (thale cress). Lineage: Eukaryota; Viridiplantae; Streptophyta; Magnoliopsida; Brassicales; Brassicaceae. The record is from RNAcentral.
GGGCCGUCACACCAAUGGGCUGA